Melospiza melodia melodia is the source of this 637-nucleotide long non-coding RNA. RefSeq lists it as uncharacterized. The record is from RefSeq and is a predicted model, not a curated record. NCBI's taxonomy places the organism in Eukaryota, Metazoa, Chordata, Aves, Passeriformes, Passerellidae. The transcript is spliced from 3 exons.
UUUAGCAGCCAAACCACUUCUACAGAGGUAAAAUUAAGGAGAGAAUUACCAAAAUUAACAGAAUGUCACAAUGCUAGAGUAAGAAUGGUCACAAAAUAUCAUUAUUUUUUAUUAUAAGCUUCCAGCAUUGAAAAAAAUUAGUAGUUUGAAAUGUGAUGCAUACUAUCCAUCUUAUCUUGAAGAAACAUCCUUCUAACCUUGGUACGUGGUGCAUCAGUGUGAAAACAGGAGCUAUCCAAGAAGAGGGACAUCUCUACUCUGCAAGGAUGUGGUUUGAACCUGACUUUGCCAGAAUGAAUCUGCUACCCUGACAGUAGAGAUAGAAGUCAGUUAAUAGGUAACUUUCUUGCCAAGUAAUGGAUGAUGCAGGGCGGUGAUGUGAUGAAGCUGAAGAGAUGUGAUGAAAUUGAAGCUUGCCUCAGAAGAAAGGAGGGGAGUAACCUAGGGAGUGAAAGAUUGAAUAUGAGCGUACCUGUGGCACUUCAGGACGAUGCUGAUUUGACAAUAAGAUGAAAAGGUGCAGCUCUGUUUCCAUUUGCAGGUGAUUAUGUCAACAAUGUUCAGAAGAAUGUUGGGGGAUGAAAUGAAAUUGCUUGUUGAUAUGUAUGCUCUUGAUAAACAAAAAAAAGUAAUUUAU